Molecule: ribosomal RNA, 519 nt
Filed under: uncultured bacterium
Lineage: Bacteria
Description: bacterial SSU rRNA
Rfam family: Bacterial small subunit ribosomal RNA
Source: RNAcentral
GACGAACGCUGGCGGCGUGCCUAAUACAUGCAAGUCGAGCGGACUUGAAGAGAAGCUUGCUUCUCUGAUGGUUAGCGGCGGACGGGUGAGUAACACGUAGGCAACCUGCCCUUAAGACUGGGAUAACUACCGGAAACGGUAGCUAAUACCGGAUAAUUUAUUUUAUCACAUGGUGAAAUAAUGAAAGACGGAGCAAUCUGUCACUUGAGGAUGGGCCUGCGGCGCAUUAGCUAGUUGGUGAGGUAAUGGCUCACCAAGGCGACGAUGCGUAGCCGACCUGAGAGGGUGAACGGCCACACUGGGACUGAGACACGGCCCAGACUCCUACGGGAGGCAGCAGUAGGGAAUCUUCCGCAAUGGACGAAAGUCUGACGGAGCAACGCCGCGUGAGUGAUGAAGGUUUUCGGAUCGUAAAGCUCUGUUGCCAGGGAAGAACGCUUAGGAGAGUAACUGCUCCUGAGGUGACGGUACCUGAGAAGAAAGCCCCGGCUAACUACGUGCCAGCCGCCGCAGUAACAC